This 344-nucleotide long non-coding RNA is filed under the name Coturnix japonica (Japanese quail). Its description in RNAcentral is "lncRNA (ENSCJPG00005005245.1)". Lineage: Eukaryota; Metazoa; Chordata; Aves; Galliformes; Phasianidae. The record is from RNAcentral.
AGAGAGACUGUUGUGUUAGCAGCAGCAAUUAUAAUGACUUCUCUGUUAAUAAUAGUACAUGUAUAGUAAUGUCAUUAUUUACCUUCUGUAUUUAUCUUUUAUAGAUCUCCUGGCGUAAAAGCAUGGCUUUGGAACAUAUUCAAUUGAAUAGUCUUGUUAAUGUUAGUAGUUCCUUAGGACACCAGAAUUGAAAUCAGUGGAAAUUUUGGAGGUGUGAAGAACUACUCAGAAGAAGCAAGGAUUAUGCAGGUUACACCUCUACUUCUCUGAGUUUCUCUAUUUCCUGGUAGUACAUCUGUAUCAUUAUUUUCAUUAAAAUCUUCCUGAUUCUAAAAAUGUGUAGU